UUUACAGAGGUUAUGAGGUCAAGACUGUAAGAAAGGAGAAAAGAAAGAAGAACUAGCAGUCGACGUUACUUAAUACAAACCCUGCUGCUUCCGUCAUGUAAAUAAAUGAUCACCAAGAGAGAUACAGAGCACAGAAACAUCAUCAGCUUUGACAGACUAAAUUUUCAAAUGUAACUGUUUAGUCACCUACUCCAUCUCAUCUCCAUCCCAUCAGCCUGAUACAACGCCAACAACACGCUCGGUCGCACUUGCAUUUAACCUAGAGAACAGAAAAGCAAAGGCAAACAGAAGAAAGGUGCUGAAGCUGUUUGUUCAAAGCUAAAAGUACAUUGGGUUUACCGUCAUCUCCCUGUCAUCAAGAGCUCCUCACAUCUGUUGAGAGAUAACAGAGCAGAGGUUUUCCACCUACCGACACACUUAUAAAGAUCUGUCCUAUAGCAAUCAUUGUUCUACAAUAAUUGUGUGUCUUCAGCACAUCCACAGCUAAAUCUGUCGAGACAGGCCCUCGCAGCAAAGGGGGAUUCUUGGAGACUUUGGCGCCCAAUCAAAGGCUAUAUAAACUAAAUACACCCUCUUGACAUCCGCUUAGUCAGAUAAAGUAAACACAAUAACACUAACACACUAAACACAUUUUGCUCUCAAAAUAAUUACCGGCCUUGUACCAACACCAAAGCAGCAUAUAUCAAGCCAUAAGACCCGUUUGGCCUCCUUACACACGUGUAGAAAGCCGAUACGGAAGGGGUUUUGUGUGUGAUUGUGUAUACAUGUGUUUCUAUGGAAAAAAAGGCAGCUGGACAGUCUUUUGGGAAUGAUGGGGGUGGGGAGUGGAAGAAUAGGUCAUAAUACGUCUAAGGAGAGAUAUAAAAGAAAACCACAGCUGUAUAAGACUGUGGCCAAGAUGAGGAAAAUGCAAAAAUGCAUUGAAACGCAUGACAACAUGUGAGGAACUAAUGAUGACUUCGGGGAAUGGGAAAAAUGCAGAGUGAAAAAGGGGUUCCCAUCAUAAAUGAGACAUCUUAAAUGUUUGUUCAUGACAGAUCAGUGAGAUUGAAUGGAGACUUUGCUGUACAGUAUAUUUGAGUAAAAGACUUUAUUUGUGCCCAAAUAUGCAAGAAACCUGCAAUCAAAUACCAGCAAUCUCAAUAUUAACUUAACACUUGUCAUCAAAUUUGUCCAUGAAAAAAUGAUUUGAGCUGCUAUACACAGCUACUAUAUAUGAGAUAUGAUAUACUCUGUCAACUGAUAUACUCUGAAUUAGG
Molecule: long non-coding RNA, 1259 nt
Organism: Cyprinus carpio carpio
Lineage: Eukaryota; Metazoa; Chordata; Actinopteri; Cypriniformes; Cyprinidae
Source: Ensembl